This 2907-nucleotide long non-coding RNA is filed under the name Arabidopsis lyrata. RNAcentral describes it as "long non-coding RNA (ALYR_LNC000738)". Lineage: Eukaryota; Viridiplantae; Streptophyta; Magnoliopsida; Brassicales; Brassicaceae. The record is from RNAcentral.
GAAGCUCGAAGUUAUAGAUGGGUCCGAGUGAACCAUAUGGUCUACGAUUAUUGUACCGACAAAUCUCGUUUUCCUGUUCCACCUCCAGAAUGCUCGGCUGGAAUAUGAUCCAACAUUAUUGUCUUAAAAGUGCCAAGUGGUUCCGUAAGAAAUGUUGCAAUGUAUGUGAAGUGAUUAAUGAGUCUUGUGGUAUGUGGUAAACUAUUCAUAAUUAAUCUGAUUGUGGUCAAAUGUUCAUGUCUUUGAGUUUUACUUUGUUUUCGUUGUGGAUCUUGUGUUUUACUGAUCUAUUGAAGAGAGAACCAUGUUUGUUUCUCGUUGGAGUAGUAUUUUGGCCUUCGGUUAGAUAUGGAACAGUUUCAUAUGGAAUAUUCAAUCUAAUAAUAUCAUAAGAGAAAAACAAAUCAAUAUUAAACUAAAAUACAUAAAUAAUGAGAAUUAUAGUAUUGAGUAUCAAGAACCCUGCAGUAUAUUUUUUAGUUAGACCAUCUUCUUAUUAUAUAAAAUAUGGUUUUUAAAGUUAGUAACUCAUAAGAUUGUGCCACGUGUCAACUUUAUCGAUCUUCCAUUUUGACAGGUAUUAAACAAAUAUUUAUUUUUAUUAACUUUAAAACUAUAAAGAAUAAUUGUAAUAAAUUAUAAAAUUUUAAAGUAUAAAAAGAUAAUUAUAAUAAAACUAAAAAAAAUUUAAAAUUUAAAUAAGAUAAUUAUAAAACCAAAGUUAGUAACUCAUAAAAUUAGACCACGUGUUAAUUUUAUCGAUCUUAGAUUUUGACACGUGUAAUACUUUAGUAACUCAAAAGAUAAGUUAGUAACUCAUAAGAUUGUUUUAAAUUUUAGUGAAAAUCAUUACUAUUUUCCAAAAUUGAGUUUAAGUGUUAAAUCUAUAUUACGUGAAAACAUACCGAACUUCGAACACUAAAGCUUACAGACCAACUAAGGACAGAAUGCUUAGGAGCGGUUAGUUUUUGAUAUUUUUAAAAUUUAACACUAAAACUAAUUUUUUUUAAAGUAAUAGGGAAAUUAACAAGGUUUUAGUUAAAAUUAUUAAUUAUUUUCUUAAAAUUUAAGUGUUAAAUUUGUUUUAAAUUUUAGUGAAAAUCAUUAUUAUUUUUCAAAAAUGAGUUUAACUGGUAAAUCUAUAUAUUAUGUGAAAACAUACCGAACUUCGAACACCAAAGCUUACGGUCCAACUAAGGAGAGGAUGCCUAGGCGCGAUUAAUUUUCGACGUUUCUAAAAUUUAAAACUAAUUUAUUAAAGAAAAAGUAAAAUUAAUAUGCUUUUAGUUAAAAAUUAUUAAUUAUUUUCUUAAAGUUUAAGUGUUAAAUUUGUUUUUUUAGUUUUAGUGAAAAUUGUUAUUAUUUUUCAAAAAUUAGAUUAAGUGUUAAAUCUAUAUCAUGUGAAAACAUGCCGAACUUCGAACACCAAAGUUUACGGACCAACUAAGGACAGGAUGCUUAGGUGCGAUUAGUUUUCAACGUUUUUAAAAUUUAAAACUUAAACUAAUUUUUUAAAGUAAUAGUAAAAUUAAUUUGAUUUUAGUUAAAAAUUAUUAAUUAUUUUCUUAAAGUUUAAGUGUUAAAUUUAUUUUUUAAAUUUUAGUAAAAAUUGUUAUUAUUUUUCAAAAAUUAGAUUAAGUGUUAAAUCUAUAUUAUGUAAAAACAUACCGAACUUCGAACACCAAAGCUUACGGACCAACUAAAGACAGGAUGCCUAGGCGCGGUUAGUUUUCGACGUUUUUAAAAUUUUAAACUUAAACUAAUUUUUUUAAGUAAUAGUAAAAUUAAUAUGGUUUUAGUUAAAAAUUAUUAAUUGUUUUCAUAAAGUUUAAGUGUUAAAUUUGUUUUUUAAAUUUUAGUGAAAAUUGUUAUUAUUUUCAUAAAUUAGUUUAAGUGUUAAAUCUAUAUUAUGUGAAAACAUGCCGAACUUCGAACACCAAAGCUUACGGACCAACUAAGGACAUGAUGCCUAGGCGCGGUUAGUUUUCGACGUUUUACAAUUUAAAACUUAAACGCAUUUUUUAAAGUAAUAGUUAAAUUAACAUGGUUUUAGUUAAAAAUUAUUAAUUAUUUUCUUAAAGUUUAAGUGUUAAAUUUGUUUUUAAAAUUUUAGUGAAAUUUUUUAUUAUUUUUUAAAAAUUAGUUAAAGUGUUAAAUAUAUUUUACGUGAUAAUAUGUCGAACUUCGAACCAAAGCUUACGGACCAAUUAAGAACAAGAUGCCUAGGCGCGGUUAGUUUUCGACGUUUUUAAAAUUUAACACUUAAACUAAUUUGGAAAAACUAAUAGUGAAAUUAGCAUGGUUUUAGUUAAAAAUUAUUAAUUUUUUAUAACAAAUUAAGUGUUAAAAUCAUUAUUAUUUUUUAAAGAAAAUUAUUACUAUGUUUUAUGAUAAAAAAAAAAAAAAAGGUAAGAAAGGAAAAUAUACCUGGAGGUUGUGAAAUCCUCUGGAGUCGUGGUUGUUCUGAUUCCUCUGGAGUUACGUAAUGAAGAAGAAGAGCGCGUGGGCUCAGUCAUGGGUCAAAAACAAAAUAAAGAAUUGGGCCUCAAAGAUAUCACGAACCUCUCUUCGCUAUCCUCUGGUGAAAUCUUUACGGUGGCUAAAUCAUUAUCCGGUGACGACAGAGGGUUGACGUACGGAGAUCAUCCUUCAAUCAAUGAAACGAUGCUUUCCGCUGCGAACAAUCUAGCUCCUACGGAUCAUGUUGCAGAGAUCAUCAUCGGCUUUUCACGUCUACUAAUUGGAUCAUCAUCAUCAUCAUCGGAAUUCACAUUCGCUCGAGAAGAGAAGAAGAUGUAGAAGCGAGAAUUAGAGAGUUUUGAUUUUAUUUCUCUCAAAGAAGAAAGAAUUAGAAGAAGUUGCGUGAGAGCGUUUUUUUUUUUUUUUCUAUAAGCAAGAGUGUUAAUU